AGCCAGCACGUCUCGACUUCGGUCAGGGUGUGUCAUGUUUGAUUUAUCUGUUGAGAAUAAAUCUUACAUUGAUGAGAGGAGGGAUCUUGCAUGUGCUUAUAAGAGGUUUGGCUACUCCUCAUAUUGCCAAUUGGUUUUAUAAUAGAAUCCCAGCUUUCUUCAUGGUAUCAGGGCAGGUUGUCCCCCGUGUGAAGCCAAAAGGCCACACGUGAUCCACUUCACCCUGUUGUUGUUGUGUUAUCCAUGUGUUACGUGAGGGGACGUGUUGAGAAUAAAUCUCACAUUGAUGAGAGGAGAGACCUUGUAUGUGCUUAUAAGAGGUUGGACUACUCCUCGUAUUGCCAAUUAAUUUUAUGGUGGCACUCCAGCUUUCUUCAUUAUCAAAUCAGUUACUUAACCAACAUUUAGACAUUGGACUGGUGAAGAACAAUGCACUUGUUGGUGCUAAGGUUGUUGUAGCACUUGCGCAGAUUAGAGAACGUGAAAAUAAAGGUAGGUAACGUUUUGUUGUUUUGCUAUAAUAAUGAGAAAAAAUCCAUGUUUUUAUUGGAGAAAAUAUG
RNAcentral lists this long non-coding RNA (560 nucleotides) under Malus domestica (apple). RNAcentral's name for it is "long non-coding RNA (MDOM_LNC003100)". Lineage: Eukaryota; Viridiplantae; Streptophyta; Magnoliopsida; Rosales; Rosaceae. The record is from RNAcentral.